AUCAGAGCCUACGGGAUAGGUCAUUGGCACUACCCUCGUUCAGCUCCACCAGGUCAGGAAUGAUCAUUGGACUUGCUGGUCUUAGACCUGUCCUCUGGAGCGGCCCAGGGUACAUCUAAUCCCUGGAAGUAUUUUAAGAGUGUGAUCCUAUCCCUCUCCCUAUGUACUUUUUAAAGGAUGGAUAUAAAUGUUUGCAUCUGCGGAGAGCUUGUCUGCCUUGUGCCCAGCCCAGAGAGCAUUUUCCUGGGAUGUUCUAUUUUCAUCUGUGGUUCUGUUUAGCAACACCGUCAUACCCUGAGCUUGUGGUCAACCAGGUCGCGCCACCCCUCUCCCCCUCUCACAUGAACCUGCUGGUGAAAAGGAUUCAGUCCAGACUGUGUAAUGGCCCCAGAAAGUCUGCUUCUGACUUCUUCCUCCUUUGUUUAUAGCAGGAGGCUUUUGUCCUCAUUGUGACAAAACGGCUGCUCUACCUCCUGCAUCACAUCCAUGCUUAGGAAGGAAGAAGGGGAGAGAGUGAAGAACUACACUGUUUUUUCCUGGUGCUUCAUCCAAUAAAAUUUCAACCCCAUGGUUUGCGGGUUACAUUGGAUUACCCCACCCCAAGCCCCAGGAAACUCUCCCAUGCCGGCGCACAGGAGCCGAGGCUAGGGCUCUCGGGCAAGCUGCCAGCAAACUCGGCUCCAGGCUCCGUGAGCGCAGCCAGGACUCCCAUAGUAAGCGCCCUUUGGAAGCUAGGCUGCGUCUUCCGGUGUCUGCAAGGCAAAGAACGCUGACAAAGACAAACUCCGUGAACCUGAACCUGCGGCCCCAGGAAGGAGACGAGAUGUGCUGUGAUGCUGAUGCGAGGCGGAGCAAGGACCACCAGCGAGGGUGGAUCCGCGGGCCUGGGACGGGCUGUUCCAGCGAGCGAAACACUGUUUCCAUCCGCUCUGCUGUGGCCUGGGAAAGCAGUAGAGGAUGGCCCAAGUGCUUGGGCUCCUGCACCCAUGUGGGAGACCCAGAAGAAGCUCCUGGCUCCUGGCUCCUGAUCAGCGCAGCUCCAGCUGUUGUGGCCAUCUGGGGAGUGAACCAGCGGAUGGAAGACCUCUCUCUCUCUCUGUCUCUACCUCUCUCUGUAACUCUGUCUUUCAAAUAAAUAAAAUAAAUCUUAAAA
This is a long non-coding RNA of Oryctolagus cuniculus (rabbit), 1153 nucleotides long. RefSeq lists it as uncharacterized. Lineage: Eukaryota; Metazoa; Chordata; Mammalia; Lagomorpha; Leporidae. The record is from RefSeq and is a predicted model, not a curated record.